This 410-nucleotide ribosomal RNA is filed under the name uncultured Hydrogenophaga sp. Its description in RNAcentral is "bacterial SSU rRNA". It matches the Rfam family "Bacterial small subunit ribosomal RNA", at positions 973 to 1382 of the family's 1533-position model. Lineage: Bacteria; Pseudomonadati; Pseudomonadota; Betaproteobacteria; Burkholderiales; Comamonadaceae. The record is from RNAcentral.
ACCCACCUUUGACAUGUAUGGAAGUUUCCAGAGAUGGAUUCGUGCUCGAAAGAGAGCCAUAACACAGGUGCUGCAUGGCUGUCGUCAGCUCGUGUCGUGAGAUGUUGGGUUAAGUCCCGCAACGAGCGCAACCCUUUGUCAUUAGUUGCUACAUUCAGUUGGGCACUCUAAUGAGACUGCCGGUGACAAACCGGAGGAAGGUGGGGAUGACGUCAAGUCCUCAUGGCCCUUAUAGGUGGGGCUACACACGUCAUACAAUGGCCGGUACAAAGGGUCGCAAACCCGCGAGGGGGAGCCAAUCCAUCAAAGCCGGUCGUAGUCCGGAUCGCAGUCUGCAACUCGACUGCGUGAAGUCGGAAUCGCUAGUAAUCGUGGAUCAGCAUGUCACGGUGAAUACGUUCCCGGGUCUU